AUUGAACGCUGGCGGAAUGCUUUACACAUGCAAGUCGAGCGGCAGCGCGGGGCAACCUGGCGGCGAGCGGCGAACGGGUGAGUAAUGCAUCGGAACAUGUCCAUGUCGUGGGGGAGUAGCCCGGCGAAGACCGGAUUAAUACCGCAUACGCCCGAGAGGGGAAAGGUGGGGACCGGCAAGGCCUCACGCGAUUGGGUUGGCCGAUGUCCGAUUAGCUAGUUGGCGGGGUAAGAGCCCACCAAGGCGAUGAUCGGUAGCUGGUCUGAGAGGAUGAUCAGCCACACUGGGACUGAGACACGGCCCAGACUCCUACGGGAGGCAGCAGUGGGGAAUUUUGGACAAUGGGGGCAACCCUGAUCCAGCCAUUCCGCGUGAGUGAAGAAGG
RNAcentral lists this ribosomal RNA (385 nucleotides) under uncultured bacterium. RNAcentral describes it as "bacterial SSU rRNA". It matches the Rfam family "Bacterial small subunit ribosomal RNA", at positions 29 to 414 of the family's 1533-position model. The record is from RNAcentral.